This 412-nucleotide ribosomal RNA is filed under the name uncultured bacterium. RNAcentral's name for it is "bacterial SSU rRNA". It matches the Rfam family "Bacterial small subunit ribosomal RNA", at positions 355 to 775 of the family's 1533-position model. The record is from RNAcentral.
UCGAGGAUCUUCGGCAAUGGGCGCAAGCCUGACCGAGCGACGCCGCGUGCGCGAUGAAGGCCUUCGGGUUGUAAAGCGCUGUCGAGGGGGAGGAAAGCCGCAAGGUCUGACCUAUCCCUGGAGGAAGCACGGGCUAAGUUCGUGCCAGCAGCCGCGGUAAGACGAACCGUGCGAACGUUGUUCGGAUUCACUGGGCUUAAAGGGCGCGUAGGCGGGUGGACAAGUCAGGGGUGAAAUCUUUCGGCUUAACCGGAAAACAGCCUUUGAUACUGUCCGUCUAGAGGGAGGUAGGGGUGCGUGGAACUUCUGGUGGAGCGGUGAAAUGCGUAGAUAUCAGAAGGAACGCCGGUGGCGAAAGCGACGCACUGGAUCUCUACUGACGCUGAGGCGCGAAAGCCAGGGGAGCAAACGG